AUUGGACAAUGGGCGAAAGCCUGAUCCAGCCAUGCCGCAUGAGUGAAGGAAGGCNUUGGGUUGUAAAGCUUUUUCAGUGAGGAAGAUGAUGACGGUACUCACAGAAAGAAGUCUCCGGGCCUAAUAAANANGU
RNAcentral lists this ribosomal RNA (133 nucleotides) under uncultured Alphaproteobacteria bacterium. RNAcentral describes it as "partial 16S ribosomal RNA". It matches the Rfam family "Bacterial small subunit ribosomal RNA", at positions 363 to 506 of the family's 1533-position model. The record is from RNAcentral. Lineage: Bacteria; Pseudomonadati; Pseudomonadota; Alphaproteobacteria.